AUGCAUAUUGAAGAGUUAUUAAAGUUAAAGGCUAUAAGAGAAAGCAGAAGCCCUCAUCGGUCUGCUGCAUUCAUAGUUAGAAAUCAUCCUGAAGAAGUUAGAGGUAAAUAUAGAAUGGUAAUUAAUUUUAAAAGGCUUAAUGAUAAUACAGUUGACGAUGCAUACAACAUACCUAAUAAGCAGAAAUGGAUUAACAGAAUACAAGGAAGUAAAUAUUUCUCUAAAUUCGACUUAAAGGCAGGAUUUUGGCAAGUAAAAAUGGUUGAAGAAUCUAUUCCCUGGACAACAUUUACUUGUCCACAAGGCCAUUAUGAAUGGCUAGUAAUGCCAUUAGGUCUAAAGAAUGCGCCUGCAUUAUUUCAAAGAAAAAUGCAAAAUAUAUUUAAUGAGAAUCAAGCAUUUAUAUUGGUAUACGUAGAUGAUUUGUUAGUAUUCUCAAAAUCAUACAAAGAGCAUAUAGCCCAUCUUGAAGUGUUCUUUAGAAAGGUAGAACAAAAUGGGCUCAUACUAUCUAAAAAGAAGAUGGAAAUCUGCAAAGAGAAAAUAAAUUUCCUUGAUCAUGAAAUAGGAGAAGAAAAGAUAUAUCUACAAGAUCAUAUUGAAAAGAAAAUAUUAGAGUUUCCUGAUAAUAUGAGUGAUAAAAAGGUUUUACAGCAAUUCUUAGGAAUUGUAAACUAUGCGCGAAACUAUAUAGAUAACUUAGCAAAGCUAGCAGGAUCUUUAUAUGCUAAAUUAAGAAAAAAUGGUCAAAGAUACUUCAAUUCUGAAGAUAUAAAAUUAGUAAAGGCCAUCAAAGAAAAAGUCAAGAAUUUAAAACCCCCUAGAAUUGCCUCUAGAAGACAAUUAUUUUAUAAUUGA
Molecule: ribosomal RNA, 858 nt
Filed under: Triticum aestivum (bread wheat)
Lineage: Eukaryota; Viridiplantae; Streptophyta; Magnoliopsida; Poales; Poaceae
Description: partial small subunit ribosomal RNA
Source: RNAcentral